RNAcentral lists this ribosomal RNA (273 nucleotides) under uncultured zygomycete. Its description in RNAcentral is "partial 18S ribosomal RNA". It matches the Rfam family "Eukaryotic small subunit ribosomal RNA", at positions 548 to 826 of the family's 1831-position model. The record is from RNAcentral. Lineage: Eukaryota; Fungi.
UUGGAGGGCAAGUCUGGUGCCAGCAGCCGCGGUAAUUCCAGCUCCAAUAGCGUAUAUUAAAGUUGUUGCAGUUAAAGAGCUCGUAGUUGAAUUUUAGGCCUGGUUGGACGGUCUGCUCUAGGGUUUGUACUGUCCUGACUGGGUCUUACCUUCUGGUGAGCUGUCGUAUUGUUUACUCAGUGCGGCAGGGAACCAGGACUUUUACUUUGAAAAAAUUAGAGUGUUUAAAGCAGGCAUUCGCUUGAAUACAUUAGCGUGGAAUAAUAGAAUAGG